GACCUCUUUGUGCUACCACAGGCUGUGUUCCUACUCUGACUGCAUAGAAAGAAGAAGCAGAAUAAACCUCCCUAUGUACAUCCCAGCCUAGGCCACUGUGCCUGGUGUGUAUUGUGAAUGGGGAGACAUGG
Molecule: small nucleolar RNA, 131 nt
Organism: Arvicanthis niloticus (Nile rat)
Lineage: Eukaryota; Metazoa; Chordata; Mammalia; Rodentia; Muridae
Product: small nucleolar RNA SNORA51
Source: RefSeq, a predicted model, not a curated record